CGAAAAGCUUCGGGGAGCUGUCAACCGAGCGUUGAUCCGGAGAUGUCCGAAUGGGGAAACCCAGCGCGGCGAAUAGCUGCGUUACUCUCAUCUGAAUUCAUAGGGUGAGAAGAGCGAACCAGGGGAAGUGAAACAUCUCAGUACCCUGAGGAAAAGAAAACAACGAGUGAUUCCCGUAGUAGUGGCGAGCGAACCGGGACCAGGCCAGUGCUGUCGUGACAUAAAGCUGAACGACUUGGAAAGGUCGGCCAUAGUGGGUGAUAGCCCCGUAAGCGUCAAAUAGCGACAGACUCGAGUAGGGCGGGACACGUGAAAUCCUGUCUGAACAUGGGGGGACCACCCUCCAAGCCUAAGUACUCCUCAAUGACCGAUAGCGAACAAGUACCGUGAGGGAAAGGUGAAAAGCACCCCGACAAGGGGAGUGAAACAGAUCCUGAAAUCGGAAGCCUACAAGCAGUCGGAGCCACCGCGCGUGGUGACGGCGUACCUUUUGUAUAAUGGGUCAGCGACUUCAUGUGCCGUGCAAGCUUAAGCCGUUAGGUGUAGGCGCAGCGAAAGCGAGUCUGAAUAGGGCGAAUAAGUACGUCGCAUGACGACCCGAAACCAGGUGAUCUAUCCAUGAGCAGGUUGAAGGUAGGGUAACACCUACUGGAGGACCGAACCGGUGCCUGUUGAAAAAGUCUCGGAUGACUUGUGGCUAGGGGUGAAAGGCCAAUCAAACCUGGACAUAGCUGGUUCUCCGCGAAAUCUAUUUAGGUAGAGCGUCAGACGAAUUCCUUGGGGGGUAGAGCACUGGAUGGAUGCGGGCGGCGCGAGCUGUACCAAUUCUAACCAAACUCCGAAUACCCAAGAGAACUAUCCGGCAGACACACGGCGGGUGCUAACGUCCGUCGUGAAAAGGGAAACAACCCUAACCAUCAUCUAAGGCCCCCAAGUUCUGGCUAAGUGGGAAACGAUGUGGGAUUGCUUUGACAACCAGGAUGUUGGCUUAGAAGCAGCCAUCAUUUAAAGAAAGCGUAACAGCUCACUGGUCAAGCGAUCCUGCGCGGAAAAUGUAACGGGGCUCAAGCCAGACGCCGAAGGUAUGGGUUUGCUCUAUGAGCAAGCGGUAGCGGAGCGUUCCGUAAGCCUGUGAAGGUCAAUCGUGAGGUUGGCUGGAGGUAUCGGAAGUGAGAAUGCUGACAUGAGUAGCGAUAAAGAGUGUGAGAGACACUCUCGCCGAAAGUCCAAGGGUUCCUGCGUAAAGCUAAUCUGCGCAGGGUUAGCCGGCCCCUAAGGCGAGGCCGAAAGGCGUAGUCGAUGGGAAUCAGGUGAAUAUUCCUGAACCAGUUGGAAGUGACGGAUCUGGUAAAUUGUUCGGGCUUAUUGGAUUGCUCCGGGCAGUGAACAGGUCCCUGGAAAUAACUCCAACGGAGACCGUACCCGAAACCGACACAGGUGGUCAGGUAGAGUAUACCAAGGCGCUUGAGAGAACUAUGUUGAAGGAACUCGGCAAAUUGCACGCGUAACUUCGGAAGAAGCGUGACCCCAUUUUACGCAAGUGAGAUGGGGUGGCACAGACCAGGGGGUAGCGACUGUUUAUCAAAAACACAGGGCUCUGCGAAGUCGCAAGACGACGUAUAGGGUCUGACGCCUGCCCGGUGCCGGAAGGUUAAGAGGAGAGGUGCAAGCUUUGAAUCGAAGCCCCGGUAAACGGCGGCCGUAACUAUAACGGUCCUAAGGUAGCGAAAUUCCUUGUCGGGUAAGUUCCGACCUGCACGAAUGGCGUAACGAUCUGGGCGCUGUCUCAGCCGUGAGCUCAGUGAAAUUGAAGUAGCGGUGAAGAUGCCGCUUACCCGCAACGGGACGGAAAGACCCCAUGAACCUUUACUAUAGCUUUACAUUGACUUUGGGUAAGGGAUGUGUAGGAUAGAUGGGAGACUAUGAAGCGGUGGCGCCAGCCAUCGUGGAGUCGACGUUGAAAUACCAUCCUUUCCUUAUCUGGAGUCUAACCCGCCCAAGGCGGGGGACAUUGCUUGGUGGGUAGUUUGACUGGGGUGGUCGCCUCCAAAAGAGUAACGGAGGCUUCUAAAGGUUCCCUCAGUACGCUUGGUAACCGUGCGUAGAGUGCAAUGGCAUAAGGGAGCUUGACUGAGAGACAUACAGGUCGAUCAGGUACGAAAGUAGAGCAUAGUGAUCCGGUGGUUCCGCAUGGAAGGGCCAUCGCUCAAAGGAUAAAAGGUACUCCGGGAUAACAGGCUGAUCUCCCCCAAGAGCUCAUAUCGACGGGGAGGUUUGGCACCUCGAUGUCGGCUCGUCACAUCCUGGGGCUGGAGAAGGUCCCAAGGGUUCGGCUGUUCGCCGAUUAAAGUGGCACGUGAACUGGGUUCAGAACGUCGCAAGACAGUUCGGUCCCUAUCUGUGAUGGGCGUUAGAAUAUUGAGUGGACAUGACCUUAGUACGAGAGGACCGGGUCGUACGGACCGCUGGUGUAUCUGUUGUGCCGCCAGGUGCAAUGCAGAGUAGCUACGUCCGGCCAGGAUAAACGCUGAAAGCAUCUAAGCGUGAAACCUUCCACGAGAUGAGUAUUCUUUUAAGGGUCGUCAAAGACGAUGACGUUGAUAGGCUACAGAUGUACAGAUGGUAACAUCAAAGUCGAGUAGUACUAAUUGCCCG
RNAcentral lists this ribosomal RNA (2655 nucleotides) under Paris polyphylla var. yunnanensis. Its description in RNAcentral is "bacterial LSU rRNA". It matches the Rfam family "Bacterial large subunit ribosomal RNA". Lineage: Eukaryota; Viridiplantae; Streptophyta; Magnoliopsida; Liliales; Melanthiaceae. The record is from RNAcentral.